AACGUAGGAGACAAACGUUAUCCGGAGUUACUGGGCGUAAAGGGCGUGUAGGUGGUUUCGUAAGUCUGGCGUGAAAUUUUUCGGCUUAACCGGGAAAGGUCGUCGGAUACUGCGGAACUAGAGGACGGUAGAGGCGUGUGGAAUUCCGGGUGUAGUGGUGAAAUGCGUAGAGAUCCGGAGGAACACCAGUGGCGAAGGCGACACGCUGGGCCGUACCUGACACUGAUGCGCGACAGCAUGGGGAGCAAAUGGG
This 253-nucleotide ribosomal RNA is filed under the name uncultured bacterium. RNAcentral describes it as "partial 16S ribosomal RNA". It matches the Rfam family "Bacterial small subunit ribosomal RNA", at positions 524 to 776 of the family's 1533-position model. The record is from RNAcentral.